This 2228-nucleotide ribosomal RNA is filed under the name Lithothamnion corallioides. RNAcentral describes it as "16S ribosomal RNA". It matches the Rfam family "Bacterial large subunit ribosomal RNA", at positions 16 to 2564 of the family's 2925-position model. The record is from RNAcentral. Lineage: Eukaryota; Rhodophyta; Florideophyceae; Hapalidiales; Hapalidiaceae.
AGCACUUAAUGAAUAUCUUAGUAAAAAAUAAAAGGACGUCGUGCGACGAAACUUUGUGUGUAGGCAUUAGCUUGUGAUACACAAAUAUCCUAUUGAGGAAAACCUUUAAAUUUUUUUUAGAAUAAUGUGAAUUGAAUCAUCUUAGUAACAUUAAUAAAAAUCAAAAGAGAAUCUGUUAGUAAUGGCGAAUGAAAACAGAAAAUAGCUUAUUUAAUAAUUUUUUAGAAAUUCUUUAAAAGGUUCGAGUCCUGUAUAAAAAUAAAUUAAAAUUCGAGAAUAGUGUGGAAUUUAAUCUGCAUGAAGAUAGGAGAACCACCUUCUAAGCUAUACAAUAUUUUUUAACUAAUAGUGAACAAGUACCGUGAGGGAAAGAUAAAACGUUUCGAAAGAAACUGAAAUUUGAAAUUAUGUGUUUAUAAUUUUUUGAAGUUGUAAAACAACAAAAUGCCUUUUGCAUAAUGAGUCAGUAAGUUAAAAAUUAUAGCAAGCUUAAAAAUAAAUUUAAAGGCGAAAAAAGUUAUAUUUUUUAGACCUGAAGCCAAGUGAUCUAAUUGAGAGCAGGAUGAAAAUUUAUUAAUCUAAAUUUGAAGACCGUACUCAUACAUGUAGCAAAAUGUAGAGGUGACUUUUAAUUAGGGGCGAAAGACCAAUCAAACUUGGCGAUAGCCGGUUUUUCACGAAAUGUAUUUUAGUACUGUGUUAUUUUUUAAGGUAAACUGAAGGUAAAGUACCUACUAAAUAAGGGGGUUUUAAAUAACUUACUAAAUUUAGUUUAACUUGUAAUUUUAGUUUAAUUAUAGUAACAGACAGUCUUUAGGCGAUAAGGUUUAAAGACAAGAGGAAAACAAUCCAGACCAUAUAUUAAGAUCUUAAAAUUAUAGUUUAUUGAAAAAAGUUUUUAUUUUAUUCAAAUAAAUAGGAUAAGCUUAGAAGCAGUUUUUCAUUAGAGAAAGCGUUUUAGCUCAAUAUUUUUUUAUAGAAACUAAAAAUGAAAGGAGACUCUAAACUUUAUAUCGAUAUAAUGGAUUAAAGUUAUUUUACUUUAAUGGUAGUGAAACGUUCUGUUUAAUUUUAUUAAUGAAAAUUAAUAAUAAUUUUCGGAAGUGCUAAUGCUGACAUGAGUAGCGUAAACUAUGUAAAAAACAUAGUCACUUUAUGUCCAAGGUUUUCAAUGUAAUUUUAUAUACAUUGAGUUAGUCGGUCCUUAAAAGAAGAAUGAAAAUUGUACUUGAUAGGAAAAACUUACUAUAUGCAUUAAUUUAAAUUUUUGUGAAAGGAUUAUCGCUCUAAAAAUUUUGAUAAGGUAAAAUUUUUUAGUAGUUAUUUUUCUCGAGAAAAACUUAUAGUGUUAAAACCGUACCCAAACCAACACAGGUGGACUUUUUAUUGAAUAAAGUGUAUGAAUAAAUUACACUGAAGGAACUAGGCAAAUUUACUCCGUAUGUUAGCUAUAAGGAGAGCUGGGAUAAAUUUCAGUAACAUUAACUAGGAAGCAACGACUGGUUACCAAAACCACAGGACUCUGCAAAUUAAAAAUAAAAAGUAUAGAGUCUGACGUCUGCCCAGUGCUUAAAAGUGGUAAAUUUAAGUAAUAAUGCUUAAAUUUUAAUCUUGAGUAAACGGCGGUUCUAACUAUAAGAAUCCUUAGGUAGCGAAAUUCCUUGACGGGUAAAUUCCGUCCUGCAUGAAUGACGUCACGAUUGCUUCACUGUCUCCAGUGUAAAUUCAGCGAAAUUACAUAAUCCAUGAAAAUGUGGAUUUCCUACAGUAAGACGGAAAGACCCUAGAUCCUUUACUCUAUUUUUAUAUUGUAAAGUAUUAAGAUAAAAUAUAGAAUAAGUGGGAAUGUGUUGAACAUUAAUAUUGAAAUACCACUUUUUAUUUUAAUUUUUACUAAUUUAUUAAAUUAAAAACCGUAUAAGAAGGGGAGUUUACUUGGGACGAGUACCUCCUAAAAAGUAACGGAGGUGUACAAAGGUAAGUUUCAAAUAUUUAGUUAUAAAUAAUGAAGCGUGUAAUGGCUUAAACUUGCUUAACAAUAAGAUUGAUAAAUCAAAUUGAAACUAAAGUUUGUCAUAGUGAUCCGGUAAUUAUGAGUGGAAAUAAUAUCGCUUAACAAAUAAAAGGAACUCUAGGGAUAACAGAUUCAUCGUGGUUGAGAGUUCUUAUUGAUGCCACGGUUUGAUACCUCGAUGUCGACUCAUCUUAUCCUGAAAUUGAAGCAGAUU